GCCUUCGUGGCUCAGCCGGUAGAGCGUGUCCUUGGUAAGGACAAGGUCGCGGGUUCGAUUCCCGCCGAAGGCU
Molecule: transfer RNA, 73 nt
Filed under: Methanomicrobiales archaeon
Lineage: Archaea; Methanobacteriati; Methanobacteriota; Methanomicrobia; Methanomicrobiales
Description: tRNA-Thr
Rfam family: tRNA
About the family: Transfer RNA (tRNA) molecules are approximately 80 nucleotides in length. Their secondary structure includes four short double-helical elements and three loops (D, anti-codon, and T loops).
Source: RNAcentral